Molecule: ribosomal RNA, 440 nt
Filed under: uncultured bacterium
Lineage: Bacteria
Description: partial 16S ribosomal RNA
Rfam family: Bacterial small subunit ribosomal RNA
Source: RNAcentral
CCUACGGGAGGCAGCAGUGGGGAAUAUUGCACAAUGGGGGAAACCCUGAUGCAGCGACGCCGCGUGAGUGAAGAAGUAACUCAUUAUGUAAAGCUUUUUUAGUCGGGAAGAAAAUGACGGUACCUGUGUAAGAAUCCCCGGCUCACUACGUGCCAGCAGCCGCGGUAAUAUGUAGGGGGCAAGCGUUAUCCGGAUUUACUGGGUGUUAUGGGAGUUUAUUCGGGUGUGCAGGUCUGGAGUGAAAGGGUGGGGCUCAACCCCCGGACUGCUGUGGAAACUGGGCGGCUGGAGUGCAGGAGAGGUAAGUGGAAUGCCUGGUGUAGCGGUGAAAUGCGUAGAUAUUAGGAGGAACACCAGUGGCGAAGGCAGCUUACUGGACUGUAACUGACGUUGAGGCUCGAAAGCGUGGGGAGCAAACAGGAUUAGAUACCCCUGUAGUC